ACCUUUGAGUGGGGAAGUAACAAGUCGGAAACGGAACUGCUAAUACCGCAUAAUGCAGCGGCAUCUAUGAUGACAGUUGUUAAAGAAGCAAUUCGCUUAAAGAGGAGCUUGCGGCAGAUUAGCUAGUUGGUAAGGUAACGGCUUACCAAGGCUACGAUCUGUAUCCGACCUGAGAGGGUGGUCGGACACACUGACACUGAAUAACGGGUCAG
Molecule: ribosomal RNA, 212 nt
Filed under: uncultured bacterium
Lineage: Bacteria
Description: partial 16S ribosomal RNA
Rfam family: Bacterial small subunit ribosomal RNA
Source: RNAcentral